GACGAACGCUGGCGGCGUGCUUAAUACAUGCAAGUCGAACGGAAAGGCCCUGCUUUUGUGGGGUGCUCGAGUGGCGAACGGGUGAGUAACACGUGAGUAACCUGCCCUUGACUUUGGGAUAACUUCAGGAAACUGGGGCUAAUACCGGAUAGGAGCUCCUGCUGCAUGGUGGGGGUUGGAAAGUUUCGGCGGUUGGGGAUGGACUCGCGGCUUAUCAGCUUGUUGGUGGGGUAGUGGCUUACCAAGGCUUUGACGGGUAGCCGGCCUGAGAGGGUGACCGGCCACAUUGGGACUGAGAUACGGCCCAGACUCCUACGGGAGGCAGCAGUGGGGAAUAUUGCACAAUGGGCGGAAGCCUGAUGCAGCAACGCCGCGUGCGGGAUGACGGCCUUCGGGUUGUAAACCGCUUUCGCCUGUGACGAAGCGUGAGUGACGGUAAUGGGUAAAGAAGCACCGGCUAACUACGUGCCAGCAGCCGCGGUGAUACGUAGGGUGCGAGCGUUGUCCGGAUUUAUUGGGCGUAAAGGGCUCGUAGGUGAUUGAUCGCGUCGGAAGUGUAAUCUUGGGGCUUAACCCUGAGCGUGCUUUCGAUACGGGUUGACUUGAGGAAGAUAGGGGAGAAUGGAAUUCCUGGUGGAGCGGUGGAAUGCGCAGAUAUCAGGAGGAACACCAGUGGCGAAGGCGGUUCUCUGGGCCUUUCCUGACGCUGAGGAGCGAAAGCGUGGGGAGCGAACAGGCUUAGAUACCCUGGUAGUCCACGCUGUAAACGGUGGGUACUAGGUGUGGGGUCCAUUCCACGGGUUCCGUGCCGUAGCUAACGCUUUAAGUACCCCGCCUGGGGAGUACGGCCGCAAGGCUAAAACUCAAAGGAAUUGACGGGGCCCCGCACAAGCGGCGGAGCAUGCGGAUUAAUUCGAUGCAACGCGUAGAACCUUACCUGGGUUUGACAUGGAUCGGGAGUGCUCAGAGAUGGGUGUGCCUCUUUUGGGGUCGGUUCACAGGUGGUGCAUGGCUGUCGUCAGCUCGUGUCGUGAGAUGUUGGGUUAAGUCCCGCAACGAGCGCAACCCUUGUUCACUGUUGCCAGCACGUUAUGGUGGGGACUCAGUGGAGACCGCCGGGGUCAACUCGGAGGAAGGUGGGGAUGACGUCAAGUCAUCAUGCCCCUUAUGUCCAGGGCUUCACGCAUGCUACAAUGGCUGGUACAGAGAGUGGCGAGCCUGUGAGGGUGAGCGAAUCUCGGAAAGCCGGUCCCAGUUCGGAUUGGGGUCUGCAACUCGACCCCAUGAAGUCGGAGUCGCUAGUAAUCGCAGAUCAGCAACGCUGCGGUGAAUACGUUCCCGGG
Molecule: ribosomal RNA, 1343 nt
Filed under: uncultured bacterium
Lineage: Bacteria
Description: 16S ribosomal RNA
Rfam family: Bacterial small subunit ribosomal RNA
Source: RNAcentral